Cinara cedri is the source of this 219-nucleotide non-coding RNA. The record is from the annotation of a GenBank genome assembly. Lineage: Eukaryota; Metazoa; Arthropoda; Insecta; Hemiptera; Aphididae.
CUAAUUUCCUACCGCGAUUGGUACCUGUGAAAAAUAAGCGCGUUUCAGCUUCUUUGAGAUAUAAUUGUGUCCAUUUAUUAAAUUUUUUACUUUGUCGAACGAUGUUUCGUUCAUGAAUAAUAAUAUCAGUUUCACACAAUUCCGUCCGCUUUUCAUUGUUCAUAAAACGACGAGUGCACACAGUAAAAUGUUAUACUAACAAUUCAAUCAUUACAACGG